Molecule: ribosomal RNA, 492 nt
Filed under: uncultured bacterium
Lineage: Bacteria
Description: partial 16S ribosomal RNA
Rfam family: Bacterial small subunit ribosomal RNA
Source: RNAcentral
AGUGAACGCUGGCGGUAGGCCUAACACAUGCAAGUCGAACGGCAGCACAGUAAGAGCUUGCUCUUACGGGUGGCGAGUGGCGGACGGGUGAGGAAUACAUCGGAAUCUACUUUUUCGUGGGGGAUAACGUAGGGAAACUUACGCUAAUACCGCAUACGACCUACGGGGGAAAGCAGGGGAUCUUCGGACCUUGCGCGAUUGAAUGAGCCAAUGUCGGAUUAGCUAGUUGGCGGGGUAAAGGCCCACCAAGGCGACGAUCCGUAGCUGGUCUGAGAGGAUGGUCAGCCACACUGGAACUGAGACACGGUCCAGACUCCUACGGGAGGCAGCAGUGGGGAAUAUUGGACAAUGGGCGCAAGCCUGAUCCAGCCAUACCGCGUGGGUGAAGAAGGCCUUCGGGUUGUAAAGCCCUUUUGUUGGGAAAGAAAAGCAGCAGGUUAAUACCCCGCUGUUCUGACGGUACCCAAAGAAUAAGCACCGGCUAACUUCGUG